Triticum urartu is the source of this 135-nucleotide non-coding RNA. Lineage: Eukaryota; Viridiplantae; Streptophyta; Magnoliopsida; Poales; Poaceae. The record is from Rfam.
UUAUUACUCCCUCCGUCCUGAAAUUCUUUUCUUAGAUUUUUCUAAAUACGGAUGUAUCAAGUCAUGUUUUAGUAUUAGGUACAUCCGUAUCUAGACAAAUCUAAGACAAGAAUUUUGAGACGGAGGGAGUAGUUA